Molecule: long non-coding RNA, 258 nt
Filed under: Ursus maritimus (polar bear)
Lineage: Eukaryota; Metazoa; Chordata; Mammalia; Carnivora; Ursidae
Description: lncRNA (ENSUMAG00000015443.1)
Source: RNAcentral
GGCGCCGGGCACACUGGGGCCUUGUGCCAGGAGGUAACCGUUCUCCUCUCCGGUGUGGCUGGAAGAAGAGCCUUCCUCCCCAGCUGUCCCUUCUGUGCAAGCCUCAGCGUCUGGGCUGUCUAGACGGAGCUGCCAUUUCCACCUGGAGGUCUGGGUCUGUGGUCCACAGGGCUGCUGCACAGGCUGGGACUGCCGGCUAGGCCAGGAGACCUGGCAGCUGUGGACUCCCUAGCUCGGAGCAGCCCCUCUUUGACCUCG